Labrus mixtus (cuckoo wrasse) is the source of this 7193-nucleotide long non-coding RNA. RefSeq lists it as uncharacterized. The transcript has 2 exons. The record is from RefSeq and is a predicted model, not a curated record. NCBI's taxonomy places the organism in Eukaryota, Metazoa, Chordata, Actinopteri, Labriformes, Labridae.
UGUGUGUGUGUGUGUGUGUGUGUGUGUGUGUGUGUGUGUGUGUGUGUGUGUGUGUGUGUGUGUGUGUGUGUGUGUGUGUGUGUGUGUGUGUGUGUGUGUGUGUGUGUGUGUGUGUGUGUGUGUGUGUGUGUGUGUGUGUGUGUUUGCAUAUCUGGAUGUAUGCUUUGCACUUUUAGAAUCUUAUGUGUAUGUGCGCAACAGAGAAAGUGAUUCAAGCCAGAUAAGGGUGUCUGGCCCACUGAAAGACAAGCUAGGGCUACUUCACUCUGCCACUUUUCCCAUUAUUGCCAUGGCAACAAACCUCUUGAUGACUACCUGACAUCCUUUACAGCCUCAACUCAUCUACUGAGAUAGGAGAUCAAUAGGAUGAAAUAUGAGGGAUAGUAGAGCGAGAAUUAUGAGAAAAAUCAUGAAAACAGUUUUGUUCCUUUUUUUUUUUUUUAUUUACCUAUACUACCUACACUGAGUAAAAAAAAUGCAAAACCUCAUUUGGUUUAACUGCUCAGUAAAUGUCACAGCACUGCAGAAAAAGAAUCACACACACGCAGCACACAUUGUAAACCAGCACACACUUCUUUACUUUUUUAUGUAUUGUUAAAAGGAAACAUUUGGCAAGAGGAGUGAUAGGAAUACAUAAAAACAACAUUUUUUUUAAAUCAUAAACCAGGAAUGAAACAUGAAUGGGAUUAUUUUUCUUGGACUGAGCAAAGACAGAAAACAAAAAAAGGAGGGGGGACGAUUAUACUUCAAAUAAAGCCAAAACUUGAUAAAUGGAGCCUAAAAGUCCAAAAAAGAGACAUUUCUGAAAUAAUCCUUCCAUUGCUGUUUGUCAUGACGCACUUAUUGAAUGAAGCAUGGCUGUGACAAGAAGAAGGGGAUGGAGGUAAUCAGCUGGACAGAACAAACUUUGAUUUUUCACUUGGAUGAAGAAAAGUCAUCACAGCCAUGAAAUGAAAACGCUCCAAAUAUGUGGUGGCAGCUCAUCAUCCCAGUUAGAGAAAAUCUAUAAACCUGUGACAGUUAAAGUGAAAAUGAGGCGGCGUUGUACGAUUGAAGCAUUGUGUGCUCCACCUCACUGGCUCAUAAUAACUGUAAAUGUUUGAUGGCCAAAUGGGAGGCACUUCAGCAGAGGUUUUAAAACUUGAAGCUGGUGAAAGCCAACAUAUAUUAUGUCUAUAUAAUAUAGGGUCUUGUGUACAAAAUUGGAAGCAUAUAAAAUGUUUUUCACAUGAUACAAAUGUUAAAUACUGUCAUUUAACCUUUGGGAACUUGACUUAAAAAAAAAUCACCCAGCUGCUAAUAAACCGUCUAUGUUCAGAGUAAUGUUCAUCAGCAUCCAUUAAGGAUAAGGUCAUACUGGUUACUUUAGACCCUAGCCUACAUUGAGCCAGUGACAUAACUGCAAAGCUAUUCUGAGCCCCCAGAUAAGAAAAAUUUAAGUCAGAUUUGUCACUCUCCAUUAUAUCAUAUAAAUAAAGGCUCAUUGAUUUAAUAUAUCUUACAAAGAAGAACUAAAAAGGUAUGCUCCAGAGAUUAAGACACUUCCUAAAGCACUUAAACCUACAUUUCCCAUGAUGCAACUUAAAAAGCCACUUUGUGAUACACUUUCCCCUCUAUCAAAAUUCAAUAACCCAAGUCAUUCCAAAGGUUUUAAGAUAUUGAUUCGUAGUUUCCAUGUAUUUCACACUGAGAUAGCCUUGAUGACAUCACUAUGACAUCACAGUCAUACAGGCCUCUUUUAAUACAUCCCAAAACUAGACCGCUUUGAAAACACAAAAUAAGAACAGUCAGUCUAAUAUGAUCACAAACAGCCCCUUAAUAGUGAGCCCUCCCACUUCUCAGCACACACGCUAACCAUCAGCACAUGUUAGGAGCAUUCAGAAUGCUUGUGUCUAUGUGUGUAUCCCACACAGAUGUGUUUCUUUAGGGGUGUCUUUCUCCACACCAUCUCAACCAUCACCCCCCAUCUGUUGUUGUGCUUGGCAGAGUGACUGGCUUGCUGCCUGUCUACACGGUUUUACAUGCCUUCAUGGCUCUGUCCCCCUGCCAGCCCCUGUGGCCCCCACCGAUUGAUCUUUUCCAAGAAACAUUAGAGUCGGGCCGGCCGGAAAUCAAGGAGGGGGGUGUGGGGGUACGGAGAAAGGAGGGUCAUUUUACUAGCGUCCCUUAGAGAAGACUUUUUUUUCCUGUGUCUCAAACUAAAGUCUGGAAUGUGGGAAAAACAUGAAGAAAAGGUUGAACGUUGAAGGCAGAUAGUGAUAUAGUUUUGAAUCAUACUUUAGCUUUAAAUUAAGUACUAAUUGGUUCCAACACACGCCUCCAUUAUUACCACAGCAACAGAAAUGUGAUGCUGUGUCGUCUUGGCUGUAAACAUGUUGUUAUGCUGUUUGUGUAACCAAUGGAAAGCAUUCACAUUCCUCAAGCUGAGCGAUCACAUUACUUCCAACAGCUGCAACGGUGUGUCACAACUGAUACUACUUAUCGCAAAACAAGUGCAGCUAUUUAACCUUCUGGUUUGUGUUACAGAAAGUUCAGGGAUAGAUUUGUAAGGACAAGACUGAAAAUAUAAUGUGAGUCAACUUUGUGGCAAACAUUUUGAAGACUCUUGUGAACUCCCUCAUCCAAAAGACGGUAAUAGAUUUUUACACUCGGUGCUUACAACAGUGCAAAAUGACACUUGGCAAAUCUGUCUCCUAGAAAAUAUACAUGUGUGUGACUAAACACUUUGUAGUUUAAAGAAAAAAAACACCCUUAUGGACUAUGCUAGACUUGAAGGGCGGAUCUGUGACAUUCCAGUUCACAUACAAUCCUGUAUUUGAAGUUUUUGUUAAGGUACUGGAAAUAUUGCAGGCUUGUCUUGUUUCAGAUGUAACCACACAAAAUUUGUCAAUUUAACGUACAAAGUAUAUGGUGAGUCAUAAAACUUCCCUUUCUGGUGGAAAAAAAACAAUUUAAAUAAAUAAUUCAACUGAAGCAUUAUCAACAUUUUUUAGACUUGCCAGCCAUAUGAAUUUACAUUUUUCAUUAUGUUUAUUGAAAAUGUAAUCAGGUCAGUAUUUUGUGUUUAAGAGUUUUACUCUUGUACAUUCGCUGCAUAUGUAAUUUCUAAGAGACAGGGUGUUAUUUAGACAAAAUACAUUAUAUUCACUUCUAUUGUAUUCUAGUGGUGGCAAAUAUUAGAAAAACUGGCACAUCAGUCCAAAAGUAUUUGCAUGUCUAGACACCAUUAGAGGUAAGCGUAUUCAUCUGGGGGGUUUUUUGAGUGCAAAACAGGAAACCUCACAAAGUUGGCUCACUCCACUGAGAACUAAAACCUUAUUCUUGUGUAUGUGUCUUUAAUGAGUAAGAGUUGGGCAUUGUCCAGUUUUCUUUAAUAAAGCUGCCGGCUUGUUUAGAAGUAGGGUGGAAAAUAAUUUGCCCUAUCACACAUUGAAAUGGGUUCCAAUUCAGGAAGAAAAGACUCGGAUUAAGCAGCAGUUUAGAAGCAGCAGGGAGAUGAAACAGAAAAACAUGAACAUGAAAUGAUGAGAGGAUUUUGCCUCCUCUGUAAACAUGUCAUGCUAAGUCUGAUGUAUGCAUUUGGUAUUUAUAGCAACAUAAAAGAGAUGUAUGUGUUUGUGAGUCAGAAGUCACAACCAGUCUGAAUCCAGGACAGAUUCUUGGCUUCAAGGGUCUGUGCGGGACAAUUCUGCUCCACAAGUCCAUAUGUUGUGACAAGGCAGAUCAAAAAGAUGAGAGUUGGUGUGGUGCUGCAGAGACAGAUGGACGCAGUGACACAAACAUGCAUGAAGAGGGCAGGCUGACACCUGGCUGCAGAUCAAAUGCCACCAGAAUCUGGAGGGAAGCAAUCAGUGUUUGAUUGUGUUGAGCUAUGAGACUGAACAUACAGUGUGUGGACAACCCUAACAACAUCAUUUACAUCACCUAGUUUUUAGUUUUAGGCUUGAUUUCCAUGGUGAAAUCAUAGACUGUAUAACAAGAUGGACAGUGUAUCUCCACCUCCUCCGUUCUACAAAAGUGAAGUGAAGGGACAGGCACUUCAUAUUUAGCAUUUGGAGCCAGAGGCUGCACUGUAUGGAUCGGCGUGAAGAGCCUUGGUAUUGACAUCAUUACACUUCCACUACGAAAACAAAUUUAACUUACAGAUAAACUGGCCAAGAUCCCUCAGAUCAGUACAGUCCACAGCAGAAUAGAUUCUUGUGUCGGACUGAAACAGACCAUUACAGUAAUUGAAGUUCAAUGACUGGUGUUAAUGUUCUUCUUUCAUUGAUCUUCUACUCUGUUAACACGGUGCACAAAGCGCUGCAGGAGCAGCAUCAAAUCACAUAAUUCAGCUUUAUAAUAACUUUAACCACGAAUGCAGUUUUGAGAAAAGUAAAUAUGUAAGUGUUAGUUUAUCUAUUAACAUAGGGGAGUCAAGAUUUAUGAUCUAUACCCCAGAAGUGGGAGCUUUAAAUAUUUUGGCUUCACUUGAGUCACGUAGUUUCACUGUCCAUUCGUUAUACAGUCUAUGGGCUAAACCAAGACGGGUCAUAUAUUUCCCACAGUUCGAUCAAACAAAACUAGUUUUCUUGAAUGCCCACUGACUUGUUAAAGCUAUUUGUGAAGUACUUAACCACAGACAUUUCCAAAAAUAUUUCCCCAUCACAUGAGUGUGCUCUGUCACAAUUGUGGUGAAGUCCCAGAGAGGUUGGGGAGAUGAGGACAGAGCAUUGUGUCAUUCUUAAAUGUUGCUUGUGAAUGGGCAGAGGGCCAUCCAACCAUUUCAUUGGGUCAGAUUAUUUAUUUAAAUGUAUUUUUCCAAGCAUUUGAAUGUUUUGAAGUGAGGAUGAAAAGAAACUGCAAAAAUUACCUUCACAUAAAAUGUCCUACCCUUUCUUUAAUGGAUCCUAUCUGGAUGUUUUAGUCACAUUUCAGGAAUCAGAGUUUACCGACAGUGGCCAAACACCAACAAACCGUCUUCUGAUACUAAAUCCUAAUCUGUGCACAGAUUCACUGUCCUCUUGAAACCAGCUAGAAAGCAAAGAGGGAAUAAAAGCAAUUUCAAAUGUAAAUAGAAAGAUCUUUCACAACCGCAGAAAACGGUGUGUUUAUUUGAGAUCCCUUCAGUUAUAAUACGAAGCCGGUUGUGAAGAUAUUUUCAAGGCCUUUGAGGGGGCUCCAUAUUUCAGACUGUGUCUAACUUUGUGGUCACAGUUUGGGGAAGGCCCUUUCCUGUUUUUUGCCCCUGAGGCCAGGAAUGAGGUCCAUAGAGAGAUAAUUUCCCUAGUUUGGUGUGGAAAACCUUGACUGGCCUGCACAAAGCCUUGACCUCGAUCCAAGCCAACACCUCUGGGGUAAAUUAAUAAAGGCUCUUGUGGGAGAAAAUUGCUGCGGCCUUGUGGAAAUCCCUGCAAAAAAAAAAAAAGUGUCAGCUUUGAAAGUUUUAGAAUCUAAUGAGAUGUUUAUGAUCACACAUUGGUGUCAUUUUCAGGUGUGUCCAGAUUCGAGUCGGUGAACUGUUUUUAUUUCCGUAUUUAAAUUUUUCUGUGCCUGUGUGUGUGAUCUACUUUGAAACUGGAGCUCAUUAUCCCUGCAAUGCUCUGAAACUCGUCGUCCCUCAGCUGCCUGACCUGAACAGAAACAGGCAUAGAGAGAGAGAGAGAGAGAAAGAGGGGGUGGCAGGGUCAGACAGAGGCAUAAGAAGGGAAGAAUAAAAAGUUAAAAAAGGAGGGGAGAGCGAGAGAGAGAGCCUCCAGAGGGGAUUCGAUUCCCCUGCAAUAUGAAACAGAAACAGAGAUGGAGAGAGAGAAAAAUCGAAUGAUCUUACAAUCACAGACAUCACUCUUUGUUUUGCACUUUUUUCUUUUUUUGUGAAGUCAAUCAAUGUGUGUUUGCUUUUCUUUUUUUUUCUUUUUUUUUUGAAGUUUUAAUUUUGGUGAAAGUCUGAGAAACAUGGAGGGGGACUGGGGUGUUUUUUUUCUUCUCUGUUUUUCUAUUUAACUUUGUUUUUGUCCUUUUUUUUGUAACUUGGUCCACUUGGCAGCUUGAUAUUUAAUGUCUUUUUAAGGCGGUGUAUGUGAGUGAAUGUUUUUGUGUGUGGGCUCGUAAGCACUGUCUCAGCCUACUGUUAGAAUAGACUUCCACUCCACCUCACACAUCUCUUACCUCCUUCAAAGCCAUGAAAAAGGGGACUUCAUAUUGUGGUGGCCAUGUUUGUUUUUCUCUCUGUAACUGUUUGUUGUUCAGAUGACAUCAUGGUUUCCUUGUGACUUUUUCAGCAUCACAGAACCACUUGUUCAAAAGUUGCUCCUUGUUUGAAAUGUUCGAAGGGAUUUUGAUGAUUUUGAUCACCUUCACAAACACAAACAAAAACAAAAACACACACAAACAGUACAGCCUCUUUUUAUUACUGUGCUCUGAUUGUGUCCUCCGCUCGUCACACAAUCACACUACUGUAGCCGCUCUGUUUGUGCCCUCGCUGUUAUGUGAUCGCUAUGAAGGCUUGCCAUUGUGCCACCAAAAAACAAUUUUGUCGUUGCUCAGCCACUUAGAACCGGUUUGGGCCAGAUCCCGAGAGGAACACAGAAAAAAAAAGUUAUUUAAGCCCUUAUCUUUUGUUUUAUGUUUGGCGGCUGUCUGACUGCAAACUGAUGCUGGUUUGAUUCUUUUUUUUUUUUGGUUAUUCCUCAUCUUUUCCUCACCCUUUACUAUUGAUAUCCACUGUUUAAGAAAAUACUUUUUGCAGCUUAAAAACUGAAACAUUCUGCCUGCAAAACUAUGAAUUGCACCUUAAUGGAGUUUUUGUUUUUUUUGCUUACCUAAAAAGAUCUAAUAGCGGGGGAUGUAUCGGAUUAUUUUUACUUGUGAUAAAAGAUGUAACUGUAAAUGAGUCAGGCAUUGUAUUGUGUCUUCAAACAGGGUUAUGAUUUUGCUUGUUAAUGUCUGUUGUUUUCAUAAUUGAUUCAUUCACUGGUGUUUGUUGUGGGACGGCUUCAUUAAGCAACUUCUGAAAUGAAGCCUCAUACUGUUGAACAUGUAAACUGACCUUUCUACAUAACAAUAUUUGAACCUCAGAAGUUGUAGUUUUAAGAAUGAUCAUUUAUCUCAAUAUUUGAUGCCAUCUACCUUAAAGUAGUUGUCCUUAAACAUUUAUCUUUCAGGAAGCCCUUUGAAUAAAAACAACUUGUUUUUUAAGGCUUGAACCAGAAACA